CGCGUAGGCGGAUCGUUAAGUCAGAGGUGAAAUCCCAGGGCUCAACCCUGGAACUGCCCUUGAUACUGGCGAUCUUGAGUGUGAGAGAGGUAUGUGGAACUCCGAGUGUAGAGGUGAAAUUCGUAGAUAUUCGGAAGAACACCAGUGGCGAAGGCGACAUACUGGCUCAUUACUGACGCUGAGGCGCGAAAGCGUGGGAGCAAACA
RNAcentral lists this ribosomal RNA (206 nucleotides) under uncultured bacterium. Its description in RNAcentral is "partial 16S ribosomal RNA". It matches the Rfam family "Bacterial small subunit ribosomal RNA", at positions 568 to 774 of the family's 1533-position model. The record is from RNAcentral.